CCUACGGGGGGCAGCAGUAGGGAAUAUUGCUCAAUGGGGGAAACCCUGAAGCAGCAACGCCGCGUGGAGGAUGAAGGUUUUCGGAUUGUAAACUCCUUUUGUUAGAGAAGAUAAUGACGGUAUCUAACGAAUAAGCACCGGCUAACUCCGUGCCAGCAGCCGCGGUAAUACGGAGGGUGCAAGCGUUACUCGGAAGCACUGGGCGUAAGGAGCGCGUAGGCGGGAUAGCAAGUCAGAUGUGAAAUCCUAUGGCUUAACCAUAGAACUGCAUUUGAAACUGUUAUUCUAGAGUAUGGGAGAGGUAGGUGGAAUUCUUGGUGUAGGGGUAAAAUCCGUAGAGAUCAAGAGGAAUACUCAUGGCGAAGGCGACCUGCUAGAACAUAACUGACGCUGAUGCGCGAAAGCGUGGGGAGCAAACAGGAUUAGAUACCCCUGUAGUC
RNAcentral lists this ribosomal RNA (440 nucleotides) under uncultured bacterium. RNAcentral's name for it is "partial 16S ribosomal RNA". It matches the Rfam family "Bacterial small subunit ribosomal RNA", at positions 338 to 795 of the family's 1533-position model. The record is from RNAcentral.